GAUGAACGCUGGCGGCGUGCCUAAUACAUGCAAGUCGAGCGAACGGACGCGAAGCUUGCUUCUCUGAUGUUAGCGGCGGACGGGUGAGUAACACGUGGAUAACCUACCUAUAAGACUGGGAUAACUUCGGGAAACCGGAGCUAAUACCGGAUAAUAUUUUGAACCGCAUGGUUCAAAAGUGAAAGACGGUCUUGCUGUCACUUAUAGAUGGAUCCGCUCUGCAUUAGCUAGUUGGUAAGGUAACGGCUUACCAAGGCAACGAUGCAUAGCCGACCUGAGAGGGUGAUCGGCCACACUGGAACUGAGACACGGUCCAGACUCCUACGGGAGGCAGCAGUAGGGAAUCUUCCGCGAUGGGCGAAAGCCUGACGGAGCAACGCCGCGUGAGUGAUGAAGGUCUUCGGAUCGGAAAACUCUGUUAUUAGGGAAGAACAUAUGUGUAAGUAACUGUGCACAUCUUGACGGUACCUAAUCAGAAAGCCACGGCUAACUACGUG
This 497-nucleotide ribosomal RNA is filed under the name uncultured bacterium. RNAcentral describes it as "partial 16S ribosomal RNA". It matches the Rfam family "Bacterial small subunit ribosomal RNA", at positions 28 to 507 of the family's 1533-position model. The record is from RNAcentral.